GAUUAAGUUAUUAAGGGCGCACGGUGGAUGCCUUGGCACUAGAAGCCGAUGAAGGACGUUACUAACGACGAUAUGCUUUGGGGAGCUGUAAGUAAGCUUUGAUCCAGAGAUUUCCGAAUGGGGAAACCCAGCAUGAGUUAUGUCAUGUUAUCGAUAUGUGAAUACAUAGCAUAUCAGAAGGCACACCCGGAGAACUGAAACAUCUUAGUACCCGGAGGAAGAGAAAGAAAAUUCGAUUCCCUUAGUAGCGGCGAGCGAAACGGGAAGAGCCCAAACCAACAAGCUUGCUUGUUGGGGUUGUAGGACACUCUAUACGGAGUUACAAAGGACGACAUUAGACGAAUCAUCUGGAAAGAUGAAUCAAAGAAGGUAAUAAUCCUGUAGUCGAAAAUGUUGUCUCUCUUGAGUGGAUCCUGAGUACGACGGAGCACGUGAAAUUCCGUCGGAAUCUGGGAGGACCAUCUCCUAAGGCUAAAUACUCUCUAGUGACCGAUAGUGAACCAGUACCGUGAGGGAAAGGUGAAAAGCACCCCGGAAGGGGAGUGAAAGAGAUCCUGAAACCGUGUGCUUACAAGUAGUCAGAGCCCGUUAAUGGGUGAUGGCGUGCCUUUUGUAGAAUGAACCGGCGAGUUACGAUUUGAUGCAAGGUUAAGCAGUAAAUGUGGAGCCGUAGCGAAAGCGAGUCUGAAUAGGGCGUUUAGUAUUUGGUCGUAGACCCGAAACCAGGUGAUCUACCCAUGUCCAGGGUGAAGUUCAGGUAACACUGAAUGGAGGCCCGAACCCACGCACGUUGAAAAGUGCGGGGAUGAGGUGUGGGUAGCGGAGAAAUUCCAAUCGAACCUGGAGAUAGCUGGUUCUCCCCGAAAUAGCUUUAGGGCUAGCCUUAAGUGAAGAGUCUUGGAGGUAGAGCACUGAUUGGACUAGGGGUCCUCAUCGGGUUACCGAAUUCAGACAAACUCCGAAUGCCAAUUAAUUUACCUUAGGAGUCAGAACAUGAGUGAUAAGAUCCGUAGUCAAAAGGGAAACAGCCCAGACCACCAGCUAAGGUCCCAAAAUAUAUGUUAAGUGGAAAAGGAUGUGGCGUUGCCCAGACAACUAGGAUGUUGGCUUAGAAGCAGCCAUCAUUUAAAGAGUGCGUAAUAGCUCACUAGUCGAGUGACACUGCGCCGAAAAUGUACCGGGGCUAAACAUAUUACCGAAGCUGUGGAUUGUCCUUUGGACAAUGGUAGGAGAGCGUUCUAAGGGCGUUGAAGCAUGAUCGCAAGGACAUGUGGAGCGCUUAGAAGUGAGAAUGCCGGUGUGAGUAGCGAAAGACGGGUGAGAAUCCCGUCCACCGAUUGACUAAGGUUUCCAGAGGAAGGCUCGUCCGCUCUGGGUUAGUCGGGUCCUAAGCUGAGGCCGACAGGCGUAGGCGAUGGAUAACAGGUUGAUAUUCCUGUACCACCUAUAAUCGUUUUAAUCGAUGGGGGACGCAGUAGGAUAGGCGAAGCGUGCGAUUGGAUUGCACGUCUAAGCAGUAAGGCUGAGUAUUAGGCAAAUCCGGUACUCGUUAACUGCGAGUCGUUGAUUUCACACUGCCAAGAAAAGCCUCUAGAUAGAAAAUAGGUGCCCGUACCGCAAACCGACACAGGUAGUCAAGAUGAGAAUUCUAAGGUGAGCGAGCGAACUCUCGUUAAGGAACUCGGCAAAAUGACCCCGUAACUUCGGGAGAAGGGGUGCUCUUUAGGGUUAACGCCCAGAAGAGCCGCAGUGAAUAGGCCCAAGCGACUGUUUAUCAAAAACACAGGUCUCUGCUAAACCGUAAGGUGAUGUAUAGGGGCUGACGCCUGCCCGGUGCUGGAAGGUUAAGAGGAGUGGUUAGCUUCUGCGAAGCUACGAAUCGAAGCCCCAGUAAACGGCGGCCGUAACUAUAACGGUCCUAAGGUAGCGAAAUUCCUUGUCGGGUAAGUUCCGACCCGCACGAAAGGCGUAACGAUUUGGGCACUGUCUCAACGAGAGACUCGGUGAAAUCAUAGUACCUGUGAAGAUGCAGGUUACCCGCGACAGGACGGAAAGACCCCGUGGAGCUUUACUGUAGCCUGAUAUUGAAAUUCGGCACAGCUUGUACAGGAUAGGUAGGAGCCUUUGAAACGUGAGCGCUAGCUUACGUGGAGGCGCUGGUGGGAUACUGUGUUGGCUUUCUAACCCGCACCACUUAUCGUGGUGGGAGACAGUGUCAGGCGGGCAGUUUGACUGGGGCGGUCGCCUCCUAAAAGGUAACGGAGGCGCUCAAAGGUUCCCUCAGAAUGGUUGGAAAUCAUUCAUAGAGUGUAAAGGCAUAAGGGAGCUUGACUGCGAGACCUACAAGUCGAGCAGGGUCGAAAGACGGACUUAGUGAUCCGGUGGUUCCGCAUGGAAGGGCCAUCGCUCAACGGAUAAAAGCUACCCCGGGGAUAACAGGCUUAUCUCCCCCAAGAGUCCACAUCGACGGGGAGGUUUGGCACCUCGAUGUCGGCUCAUCGCAUCCUGGGGCUGUAGUCGGUCCCAAGGGUUGGGCUGUUCGCCCAUUAAAGCGGUACGCGAGCUGGGUUCAGAACGUCGUGAGACAGUUCGGUCCCUAUCCGUCGUGGGCGUAGGAAAUUUGAGAGGAGCUGUCCUUAGUACGAGAGGACCGGGAUGGACGCACCGCUGGUGUACCAGUUGUUCUGCCAAGGGCAUAGCUGGGUAGCUAUGUGCGGAAGGGAUAAGUGCUGAAAGCAUCUAAGCAUGAAGCCCCCCUCAAGAUGAGAUUUCCCAGCGUAAGCUAUAAGAUCCCUGAAAGAUGAUCAGGUUGAUAGGUUCGAGGUGGAAGCAUGGUGACAUGUGGAGCUGACGAAUACUAAUAGAUCGAGGACUUAACCAU
This 2881-nucleotide ribosomal RNA is filed under the name Staphylococcus aureus. RNAcentral's name for it is "23S ribosomal RNA". It matches the Rfam family "Bacterial large subunit ribosomal RNA". Lineage: Bacteria; Bacillati; Bacillota; Bacilli; Caryophanales; Staphylococcaceae. The record is from RNAcentral.